RNAcentral lists this long non-coding RNA (296 nucleotides) under Olea europaea (common olive). RNAcentral's name for it is "long non-coding RNA (OEUR_LNC002387)". The record is from RNAcentral. Lineage: Eukaryota; Viridiplantae; Streptophyta; Magnoliopsida; Lamiales; Oleaceae.
AAAAAAUAAGCUGACGAUCACUCUCUCCACUCUUCAUAAUUUCUGAGUUAAGUUUCAUUGUCUUGAGUGAAUAUUGUAGUGAGGUUGUUGCGCAUGCAGUUGGUUGAUUCUCUUCGUGUGCAUUGCGUACAAGGGGGAUGAUUUUGGUUGAGGAAGGUCUGUAAUCAUCUGAUCUUGUGUAGAUCGAGAGGUGUAAUGGUGUGGACUCUUGUAAACUACGAUUCUUGAGAUCAUAGUGCAAAGGGAGCAUUAGUCAACCUACGUAGAGAUUCAACAGAGAUACAGGUGGUGGUGGG